Tympanuchus pallidicinctus (lesser prairie-chicken) is the source of this 699-nucleotide long non-coding RNA. RefSeq lists it as uncharacterized. The record is from RefSeq and is a predicted model, not a curated record. NCBI's taxonomy places the organism in Eukaryota, Metazoa, Chordata, Aves, Galliformes, Phasianidae. The transcript is spliced from 3 exons.
UUAACUCUGAUUUGAAAAAUUCUUAUCUGAAAUGAGUUUAAUAAUAGUAAUUCACCCAAAAAGGAUUGGAUAUUACUUCUCCUGACUUGGCUCCACUAACAGUUAUUAUAUUUAUGCAUGAAAUACUCUACCAGUCAGACUGAUGAACUCCUCAAUGCUGGACUGCAAACAUGAAAACUGAAAGAUUUUAAAGGAAAUGAAUAGUACUUUCUUUAUUUGAAGAUGGGACAAGUGAUGCACAGAAACUGGUGGCUGUCUAGCAAGUGAAUCUGAAGAUUCAGUAAUCAUUAUUUAUUUGAUGUUAUCCUCAUUGACCUACAGUAACUUAUGACAGUGGGAUGAUGCUCUGUAUUUCAUGGAAAACUAUCUGCAAGAUGCAGAGCAUAAAUCACUUAAGGGUAAAGAAUAUAAUUACACCCAUGAUUCUCACCAAGUUGAUCCUCAUGCAUAAAUUUAAACUCAUACUAAAAUGUGUGUAGACCCAGAACUUGAGGAGCUGAGCUGUAUGAGCUGUAUUUUGUUUUAUUCAGAGAACCAGCAAAAUAUUAGUGUACUUCUAUCAUGACAAGUAUGUUCUUGGAAUAGAUUUUAAUGGUAUAUUGAUUCUCUAUCUGAAUGAAAUCCAGUCAGUACAAUUCUUAGCCCUAGAUAAAGACACUUACCAUUAAUACAUUUUUCCAUUAAAUAAAUAUCAGUUUA